GGGCCCGCACAAGCAAGCGGAGCAUGUGGUUUAAUUCGAAGCAACGCGAAGAACCUUACCUAGACUUGACAUCCCUUGCAUAACUCAGAGAUGAGUGAAGUCCUUCGGGACAAGGUGACAGGUGGUGCAUGGUUGUCGUCAGCUCGUGUCGUGAGAUGUUGGGUUAAGUCCCGCAACGAGCGCAACCCUUAUCAUUAGUUGCUACCAUUAAGUUGAGCACUCUAGUGAGACUGCCCGGGUUAACCGGGAGGAAGGUGGGGAUGACGUCAAAUCAUCAUGCCCCUUAUGUCUAGGGCUACACACGUGCUACAAUGGUGAGUACAAAGAGAUGCAAGACCGCAAGGUGGAGCCAAACUCAAAAACUCAUCCCAGUUCGGAUUGUAGGCUGCAACUCGCCUACAUGAAGCCGGAGUUGCUAGUAAUCGCGAAUCAGCAUGUCGCGGUGAAUACGUUCCCGGGCCUUGUACACACCGCCCGUCACACCAUGAGAGUUGGUAACACCCGAAGUCCGUGAGGUAACCAGUAAUGGAGCCAGCGGCCGAAGGUGGGAUCGAUGAUUGGGGUG
RNAcentral lists this ribosomal RNA (565 nucleotides) under uncultured bacterium. RNAcentral describes it as "bacterial SSU rRNA". It matches the Rfam family "Bacterial small subunit ribosomal RNA", at positions 917 to 1482 of the family's 1533-position model. The record is from RNAcentral.